AAAAUGCGAUAAGUAAUGUGAAUUGCAGAAUUCCGUGAAUCAUCAAAUCUUUGAACGCACAUUGCGCCUUCUGGUAAUCCGGAAGGCAUGCCUGUCUGAGCGUCAUUACACCAUUCAAACCUUUCUUUUAUUAGAAGUGGCUUGGUUUUGGAAGUCGACUGUGGGUAACCAUCAGUCUCUUCUGUAAUGCAUUGACGAGCGUCUACUGUUCCUUAGUUGUAGCAAGUAAUUUCUCAACUUCAAGGUAAUAGUGGAUGUCCUACUUUCUCUUGAUUACUUUUUAAGUAGUCUUUCUAAAGUUUGACCUCAGAUCAGGUAGGAAUACCCGCUGAACUUAA
Molecule: unclassified non-coding RNA, 338 nt
Filed under: uncultured fungus
Lineage: Eukaryota; Fungi
Description: sequence contains ITS1
Rfam family: 5.8S ribosomal RNA (bases 1-105)
Source: RNAcentral